RNAcentral lists this ribosomal RNA (499 nucleotides) under uncultured Glomeromycotina. Its description in RNAcentral is "SSU rRNA". It matches the Rfam family "Eukaryotic small subunit ribosomal RNA", at positions 591 to 1092 of the family's 1831-position model. Lineage: Eukaryota; Fungi; Glomeromycota. The record is from RNAcentral.
CCAAUAGCGUAUAUUAAAGUUGUUGCAGUUAAAAAGCUCGUAGUUGAAUUUCGAGACCGGCUUACUGGUCGUGCUAUUGUACGUACUGGUAUAAUCGGUUUCUCCUUUCUGACGAACUAUAAUGCCAUUAAUUUGGUGUUUUAGGGAAUCAGGACUGUUACUUUGAAAAAAUUAGAGUGUUUAAAGCAGGCUCACGCUUGAAUACAUUAGCAUGGAAUAACGGAAUAGGACGUUUGAUUCUAUUUUGUUGGUUUCUAGGAUCGACGUAAUGAUUAAUAGGGAUAGUUGGGGGCAUUAGUAUUCAAUUGUCAGAGGUGAAAUUCUUGGAUUUAUUGAAGACUAACUACUGCGAAAGCAUUUGCCAAGGAUGUUUUCAUUAAUCAAGAACGAAAGUUAGGGGAUCGAAGACGAUCAGAUACCGUCGUAGUCUUAACCAUAAACUAUGCCGACUAGGGAUCGGAUGAUGUUAAUUUUUUAAUGACUCAUUCGGCGCCUUACG